RNAcentral lists this ribosomal RNA (379 nucleotides) under Parathespis humbertiana. RNAcentral's name for it is "partial 12S ribosomal RNA". The record is from RNAcentral. Lineage: Eukaryota; Metazoa; Arthropoda; Insecta; Mantodea; Thespidae.
AGAUACCCUAUUAUUUUUAUUGUAAAAUGUUGAAGCCUGAGUAGUAAUAGUUAUAAUCUUUAAACUUAAAGAAUUUGGCGGUAUUAUAGUCUAUUUAGAGGAAUCUGUUAUGUAAUCGAUAAUCCACGUUGAACCUUACUUAUAGAAAUGAGUUCUUGUAUACCGCUGUUUAUGAAUAUACUUUUAGGUAAAUUUUCUGGAUUUAUAAAUAUGAAAUAUUUCAAGUCAAGGUGCAGUAAUAUAUAAGUUGAAUAAUGGAUUACAAUAAAAUUUAUUUAGCAUGGAUAAUUAGUUAAAUUUGAUUUGAAGGUGGAUUUAAUUGUAAUUUUAUGAAGAUUGUUAAGAUGAUUUUAGCUCUAUAAUAUGUACACAUCGCCCG